This 186-nucleotide long non-coding RNA is filed under the name Podarcis muralis (Common wall lizard). RNAcentral describes it as "lncRNA (ENSPMRG00000018469.1)". Lineage: Eukaryota; Metazoa; Chordata; Lepidosauria; Squamata; Lacertidae. The record is from RNAcentral.
CGAAUCAAAAAGGCGCCUCGGCUGCAUCACUGGCACUCAACUCUUGUUAACGUAAACUUUUAGAGAGCAGAAUUCUGGAAAUCUGAAGACGGGGGUCGUCGUCUCGCAGUGACUUCCAUGGUGGCAGAAGGGAAAGGAGGAAGCUGGGAGCCCCACUGACAUAUGCCCCAAAACAGGGAGAGCUGU